Molecule: long non-coding RNA, 1019 nt
Filed under: Nicotiana benthamiana
Lineage: Eukaryota; Viridiplantae; Streptophyta; Magnoliopsida; Solanales; Solanaceae
Description: long non-coding RNA (NBEN_LNC033667)
Source: RNAcentral
UAAUUGUCUACUUUGCUCAAAAUGUUUGCUUGAUCUCUUUCCUUAAAUAUUCUCUGUCCAUUACCGUUUAAGUUAAACUCCUUAAUUAAAGGAAGUCCUUAUACUAAUAGAUUUUAAUUGGUACAAAGAUUCAUAAUUACUACUAAACUAUGAUUUUUGCCUUGUUUUCUACCUAUUUUUCAAAUUAUGAAUACCAUGCUCUUUCAUUAACACAGACAUGUACACUCUUAGUUUCUGAACUCACACUCAAAAAGUAUUCUCUCUUGUUACUUGUAUUGUGGCAUGCUUUCAAGUCCUGCUACUUGCUUUUAUUGUAUCUUUCUCUUUAAAACUGGUAUGUUCUGAUUAAGAUUUUCAGCAAUCACAACAAUGUGUUUACUUAAUACUUUUACCCUUUUGUCUGCCUACUGCUUGUGUUUAGUUCAGUACUUAUUUUAGCUUGUUGUAAUUUCCUUCUACAUGUCAUGCAUCUACUAUGCAUCCUAAAUGUGUUUGCUGUUAAUGGUUUGUUUGAGGCAUGACAGUAUUAAGUAUUACUGUCUAUGACUCAAACUUGAUUCUCCUGGAAUCAUAACCUCUAUGUCACCAUCAUAUGUUGUGUAUUCUUAUUGAUUUUGUAAGUAUAAAAAUACUCUCUAUUGUUGUGCAUGCCCAGAAUUAUCUAAUGCCUAAGUACAUAGGCUCUUUGCAAUCCCCAAUCCUUGAACCCUUUUGUGUGAAAUCCUCAAUCCUGUAAUUGUUUCCCAGCACCUCUUCCCCUCCUCUUUACUUUCUUAGUUCUUUAAAACUAUGUUUCUUCACUUGCACUCUCUCUUAGACUUUAAGUUAUGCCCCUCUCUUGUGAGCCUUGCCUUGGGACCCAUUGAGCUUCCCUUGAACUUGGACAUUGAAGGGCACUUCCAUACUGCACUUGUCCCUAUUCUGGUAAUACAAUUUGGGUGUGAGCACUGCCCAGAGUCCCAUUGAGGCUCUUAGGAAACUCUGACACACUCAAAUUGGAGAUAGGCUUUGGAUCAACG